GAGUGCAUAUGAACGCCUCGAUUGAGCUGAGCACGAGGGAUAUUGAGGCCUCGGAUCGAAUAGCGCGUAUGCUUAUUGCAUAUUCUGUGCCGCGCGGUGUUCCCUUUGUCCUUUGCCAAAGGGAAGACUUUACAUUUGAAGACGUUGAAGAUGUGCGUGAACCACCAACCGAGAAAGAGCUGGAAGGUGAUCAGAGACGAUCCAUUCUAUACCAUG
RNAcentral lists this long non-coding RNA (216 nucleotides) under Zostera marina. RNAcentral describes it as "long non-coding RNA (ZMAR_LNC005694)". The record is from RNAcentral. Lineage: Eukaryota; Viridiplantae; Streptophyta; Magnoliopsida; Alismatales; Zosteraceae.